Molecule: long non-coding RNA, 525 nt
Filed under: Homo sapiens (human)
Lineage: Eukaryota; Metazoa; Chordata; Mammalia; Primates; Hominidae
Description: non-protein coding lnc-RERGL-3:1
Source: RNAcentral
AUGGAGUUGGCAUUAGUGGCACCAGUGGCAGUUGAGCUGGUCUGCAGCAGCAAGUACCAACAUUUAUAGAAUGAGGAAGAGCCUGAGGAACCUGAGAAGGCUUCAGGUGAGGUUCCUCCACCUUAUGGCAUCAACUCUGCAGAGAGUAUGGUAUAUUUGACUACACAGAUGAGUCUAAUUUUCCAAAGCCCCCAUUUUACAAUGUGGUUGCAAACAUUACCAAUUUAUAAUAAAGUCAUGAGAAUCAAGGCUGAAGCUCUUUCUUUGGUUCCUGGAAGAGAUGAGGAUUUUGUGGGACAGGAUGAUUUUGAUGAUGCUGACCAGCUGAGGAUAGGAAUUUUUUUUGGUUAACUUUUGUCCUGGCAUUCUUCUUAACUGGGUUAAGUUCUUUUCCUGUCUUUUUGCCUCACUGCUUCAGUGGCAGAAAGGUAUGACACCAUUUCAGAAUUUGGUCUCUUUCUAAUUAAGUGGGUCCUGAGAGUCAAAUUUCUAACCUGUUUUCCUUGAUACUUUGAUGGUCAGCAC